Molecule: ribosomal RNA, 253 nt
Filed under: uncultured bacterium
Lineage: Bacteria
Description: partial 16S ribosomal RNA
Rfam family: Bacterial small subunit ribosomal RNA
Source: RNAcentral
UACGUAGGGGGCAAGCGUUUUCCGGAAUUAUUGGGCGUAAAGCGCGCGCAGGCGGCUAGUUAAGUCAGAUGUGAAAGGCUGCGGCUCAACCGCAGAGCUGCAUCUGAAACUGAUUAGCUUGAGUGCAGGAGAGGAUAGUGGAAGUCCCGGUGUAGCGGUGGAAUGCGUAGAGAUCGGGAGGAACACCGGUGGCGAAGGCGACUGUCUGGACUGUAACUGACGCUGAGGCGCGAAAGCGUGGGGAGCAAACAGG